ACGUAGGGAGCAAGCGUUGUCCGGAAUUACUGGGUGUAAAGGGAGCGUAGGCGGGAAUGCAAGUUGAAUGUCAAAUCUACCGGCUUAACUGGUAGCCGCGUUCAAAACUGCGUUUCUUGAGUGAAGUAGAGGCAGGCGGAAUUCCUAGUGUAGCGGUGAAAUGCGUAGAUAUUAGGAGGAACACCAGUGGCGAAGGCGGCCUGCUGGGCUUUUACUGACGCUGAGGCUCGAAAGUGUGGGUAGCAAACAG
This 250-nucleotide ribosomal RNA is filed under the name uncultured bacterium. RNAcentral's name for it is "partial 16S ribosomal RNA". It matches the Rfam family "Bacterial small subunit ribosomal RNA", at positions 525 to 775 of the family's 1533-position model. The record is from RNAcentral.